Gallus gallus (chicken) is the source of this 1648-nucleotide long non-coding RNA. NCBI's taxonomy places the organism in Eukaryota, Metazoa, Chordata, Aves, Galliformes, Phasianidae. The record is from Ensembl.
CGGAGCCCCCGGCACCCUGCGGCCGGGCGUCACCCACGCGUGGGGCGGGGGCGGCGGGACUCGGCCGGCAACAGCCGUCGAGGAAAUCGGGACCGAGGAGCGGCGGGGCGGCCGAGGAACAAUAUGAAGUUAUUUUCUCUGGCACUCUCUGCAAACAGUAGAAGUUUUGCCUGAAAUUGGGAAUGUUCUAUCCAGAGUUUUUCAAGCAAAUAUCAAGAUUUCCAGCAAUUUCAAUAUUCUUUUGAUCGGGCGCUUAAUCUUCUAGAAAGUGCUGGGCUUAAAAGGAUUAUUGUGUAUGUGGUGCUGACUGCAUAUGGAGUUUGGAGUUCGAGUUGUGUCUAAGGAAGAAGAAAGAAAUUUACUAACAGAUUUUCUAACACCUUGAGUUGACUCUGAACAUCUUUUAAAAACACCAAAGGUUGUGCAGGAGUUGAUUAAAGAUGUGACUAGACCUUCCUUAUUAGGCAUGUAUUGAGUUGAAACUGCUAUAUGAGAAAUGGGCAGGACUGUAUCUCCAGCUUUGAAUUCCUAUCCGGUCCUUCUAAAGAAAUUCUGUUGUGUUACUGACAGCUGAUGCAUGAAGUGAAGUUUGGUGACAGGACUUAAUGUUUUUAAUAACAUCAAAACUACUUGCAGGAAGAGAUUCUUAACAUUCAUUGUGAAAGGCUGAAGGUCGUGCAAUGUUGUACAGUCACUAAUGUUAUGAAGAUAGGAGUCUGCCCCCAGAAACUUGUGCUGCAGCGGCAAGACAGAACACACUCAGCACUGGGUGGGACUUGGAGAGCGUCCUGGGAAAGAGUAGGAGCUCCUGAAUCAGUGAAUCAUAUGAUAGCACAAAUCUCUAUCGGUGGAGCCUACAGCUGCAGACAAACCUUGAAGAAGGUCUCCUACAGCAGCAUGAAAGGCUGCUGACCAGAGGCCAUUAGAACAUGACUGGGAAGAGGAAGACUUGGCUGUGACUGGGCUGGUACCUUCACAGAAGGCCCUCGAACAACUGUUUAUUUCCAGAGUCUUCCCGGGUGGAUAUGACAGCCUGAAGUGCCCAGAUUUCAGACAGCCUAUUCCUUGUUAGCCCCCUGACCCACAGGAGUGGACAGCAGUCAAGAGUGGUGAAGUUUGGAUUCUCAUCCAGAAAGCCAGAAGGCUUGUGAGAACAGAAAAGCCAUGUAACUGAAGUCUACUUCGUGGCAAAUGCAUUUGCUCAAAGCUGCAGAUUUUAUAAUUUGAGAAUGUGUGUUAGAAAGUUCGAGACUAAUGAGCAUCUACAUUAAUUUUGGAGUACGGAAGGGAUUUAAUCCUUAAACAGAGAGCAAGAGUAUAUGAAUAUCACUGAGAAACUGCAAAGGGAACAAGACUACAAGAGAAGCCUAUUUAAUUCUAUCUGUAAUUCUCUGAAACCAGUAUGAAGCUAUGAUUCAAGUUAACGUUGUUACCAUCGUCCCUAUCUGAGAAGAAACUGUUUCUGUCAAUACUUGAAUGUGAUGGGGAUGAGCAGGAGGAAGAUGUGAAGUCUAAUCUCAGCAGAUGGUUGUCAAAACUGCGCAGAGUGACUGAGAAUGUAGAAAGAAAUAAGAAGAGAGUUUCCCCCAUUUUGUCUUUAUGUCAUGAAUAGUGAAUAAAUCAUACAUUAUAGACAAAUCAAAAAUCG